UGAAACUUAAAUCCUUUCAAAAGGAUCAAUUAGAGGGCAAGUCUGGUGCCAGCAGCCGCGGUAAUUCCAGCUCUAAUAGCGUAUAUUAAAGUUGUUGCAGUUAAAAAGCUCGUAGUUGGAUUUAGGCUAAGUAUCUUGGGUCUCCAGUCUUUACGGACGGAGGUAUCCCGUGUAUACUUUGCUUUCUUUCGAAGACAUCCUUUCCUCUUAACUGAGCGGAGGGCUGGAUUCGGAUUCUUUACUUUGAAGAAAUUAGAGUGUUCAAAGCAGGCUGACGCAAUUGAAUAUAUUAGCAUGGAAUAAUAAAAUAUGACGACCGUCCAUAUUUUUGGGUUUCAAGGACAAUGGUCGUAAUGAUUAACAGGGACAGUCGGGGGUGUUUGUAUUGCUUCGUUAGAGGUGAAAUUCUUGGAUCGAAGCAAGACAAACUACUGCGAAAGCAUUCACCAAGGAUGUUUUCAUUAAUCAAGAACGAAAGUUAGGGGAUCGAAGGCGAUUAGAAACCGCCCUAGUCUUAACCAUAAACUAUGCCAACUAGGGAUUGGAGGGUGUUUUUUUAAUGACCCUUUCAGAACCUUGUGAGAAAUCAAGAGUCAUCGGGUUCUGGGGGGAGUAUGGUCGCAAGGCUGAAACUUAAAGAAAUUGACGGAACGGCACACCAGGCGUGGAGUCUGCGGCUUAAUUUGACCCAACACGGGAAAACUUACCAGGUCCAGACACAGGAAGGAUUGACAGAUUGAUAGCUCUUUCUUGAUUCUGUGGGUGGUGGUGCAUGGCCGUUCUUAGUUGGUGGAGUGAUUUGUCUGGUUAAUUCCGUUAACGAACGAGACCUCAACCUGCUAACUAGGCACACCAAUCCCUUUGUGGAUUGAGUGGUCGCACUUCUUAGAGGGACUACCGGCGUUUAGCCGAUGGAAGUUUGAGGCAAUAACAGGUCUGUGAUGCCCUUAGAUGUUCUGGGCCGCACGCGCACUACACUGAUUGGCUCAACAAGUUCAACCUGCUCCGAAAGGUGUGGGUAAUCUUGGGAAAUCCAAUCGAGAUGGGGAUCGAUCAUUGUAAUUUGAUCGUGAACGAGGAAUGUCUCGUAAGCGCAAGUCAUCAGCUUGCGUUGAUUACGUCCCUGCCGUAUGUACACACCGCCCGUCGCUUCUACCGAUUGAAUGAUAGGGUGAAAUGUUUGGACCGUGGAGCUAAGGCUGCA
Molecule: ribosomal RNA, 1204 nt
Filed under: metagenome
Description: SSU rRNA
Rfam family: Eukaryotic small subunit ribosomal RNA
Source: RNAcentral